RNAcentral lists this non-coding RNA (71 nucleotides) under uncultured Ruminococcus sp. RNAcentral's name for it is "S10-Clostridia ribosomal protein leader". It matches the Rfam family "S10-Clostridia ribosomal protein leader", at positions 6 to 77 of the family's 81-position model. Lineage: Bacteria; Bacillati; Bacillota; Clostridia; Eubacteriales; Oscillospiraceae. The record is from RNAcentral.
GCGUUGAAGCGGGAGGUUGCGGCUUUUACAGUCGGUUUUUCCGUGGAGUAUGUCCGAUUUUAAACCGGGCG